Molecule: ribosomal RNA, 958 nt
Filed under: Burkholderia sp.
Lineage: Bacteria; Pseudomonadati; Pseudomonadota; Betaproteobacteria; Burkholderiales; Burkholderiaceae
Description: bacterial SSU rRNA
Rfam family: Bacterial small subunit ribosomal RNA
Source: RNAcentral
UGCAGUCGGACGGCAGCGCGGGGGCAACCCUGGCGGCGAGUGGCGAACGGGUGAGUAAUACAUCGGAACGUGUCCUGGAGUGGGGGAUAGCCCGGCGAAAGCCGGAUUAAUACCGCAUACGCUCCAUGGAGGAAAGCGGGGGAUCUUCGGACCUCGCGCUCAAGGGGCGGCCGAUGGCGGAUUAGGUAGUUGGUGGGGUAAAGGCCUACCAAGCCGACGAUCCGUAGCUGGUCUGAGAGGACGACCAGCCACACUGGGACUGAGACACGGCCCAGACUCCUACGGGAGGCAGCAGUGGGGAAUUUUGGACAAUGGGGGCAACCCUGAUCCAGCAAUGCCGCGUGUGUGAAGAAGGCCUUCGGGUUGUAAAGCACUUUUGUCCGGAAAGAAAUCAUUCCUGUUAAUACCGGGGGUGGAUGACGGUACCGGAAGAAUAAGCACCGGCUAACUACGUGCCAGCAGCCGCGGUAAUACGUAGGGUGCGAGCGUUAAUCGGAAUUACUGGGCGUAAAGCGUGCGCAGGCGGUGAUGCAAGACCGAUGUGAAAGCCCCGGGCUCAACCUGGGAACUGCAUUGGUGACUGCAUCGCUGGAGUAUGGCAGAGGGGGGUGGAAUUCCACGUGUAGCAGUGAAAUGCGUAGAGAUGUGGAGGAACACCGAUGGCGAAGGCAGCCCCCUGGGCCAAUACUGACGCUCAUGCACGAAAGCGUGGGGAGCAAACAGGAUUAGAUACCCUGGUAGUCCACGCCCUAAACGAUGUCAACUGGUUGUCGGGCCUUCAUUGGCUUGGUAACGAAGCUAACGCGUGAAGUUGACCGCCUGGGGAGUACGGUCGCAAGAUUAAAACUCAAAGGAAUUGACGGGGACCCGCACAAGCGGUGGAUGAUGUGGAUUAAUUCGAUGCAACGCGAAAAACCUUACCUACCCUUGACAUGUACGGAAUUCUGCCGAGAGGUGG